GACGAACGCUGGCGGCGUGCCUAAUACAUGCAAGUAGAACGCUGAAGGAGGAGCUUGCUUCUCUGGAUGAGUUGCGAACGGGUGAGUAACGCGUAGGUAACCUGCCUGGUAGCGGGGGAUAACUAUUGGAAACGAUAGCUAAUACCGCAUAAGAGUAGAUGUUGCAUGACAUUUGCUUAAAAGGUGCAAUUGCAUCACUACCAGAUGGACCUGCGUUGUAUUAGCUAGUUGGUGGGGUAACGGCUCACCAAGGCGACGAUACAUAGCCGACCUGAGAGGGGGAUCGGCCACACUGGGACUGAGACACGGCCCAGACUCCUACGGGAGGCAGCAGUAGGGAAUCUUCGGCAAUGGACGGAAGUCUGACCGAGCAACGCCGCGGGAGUGAAGAAGGUUUUCGGAUCGUAAAGCUCUGUUGUAAGAGAAGAACGAGUGUGAGAGUGGAAAGUUCACACUGUGACGGUAUCUUACCAGAAAGGGAAGGCUAACUACGUG
Molecule: ribosomal RNA, 495 nt
Filed under: uncultured bacterium
Lineage: Bacteria
Description: partial 16S ribosomal RNA
Rfam family: Bacterial small subunit ribosomal RNA
Source: RNAcentral